Molecule: long non-coding RNA, 324 nt
Filed under: Setaria viridis
Lineage: Eukaryota; Viridiplantae; Streptophyta; Magnoliopsida; Poales; Poaceae
Description: long non-coding RNA (SVIR_LNC003212)
Source: RNAcentral
UAAUAUUCAUGUGUGUCCUCACAUGAACUCCGACUAGGGACAAGUUUAGAAUAACCAUACCAGUAAAGAGUUUCACAUACAAUUCACAUAAUUGCAAAUCAAUUCAAGUAGCCUUUAAUGGAUAUUCAAUGAACACAAUAUACAAAUCAUGGAUACAAAUGGAAUAUCAUCAUCUCUAUGAUUGCCUCUAGGGCAUACCUCCAACAGUCUCCCACUUGCACUAGAGUCAAUCUAGAAGGUACCUCAUACCCAUAGCUCUUACAUGCGCAUCAUCUUGAUCAGAAAUGUUCAGAUCCGUGUGUAUUUUGCAUAUCUUGAUCUCAC